This 292-nucleotide ribosomal RNA is filed under the name uncultured bacterium. RNAcentral's name for it is "partial 16S ribosomal RNA". It matches the Rfam family "Bacterial small subunit ribosomal RNA", at positions 505 to 796 of the family's 1533-position model. The record is from RNAcentral.
GUGUCAGCCGCCGCGGUAAUACAGGGGGUGCAAACGUUGCUCGGAAUCAUUGGGCGUAAAGCGCGCGUAGGCGGUCAUCUAAGUCGGAUGUGAAAGCCCUUGGCUUAACUGAGGAAGUGCAUCCGAAACUGAAUGGCUUGAGUACCAAAGAGGGUCGCGGAAUUCCCGGUGUAGAGGUGAAAUUCGUAGAUAUCGGGAGGAACACCGGUGGCGAAGGCGGCGACCUGGGUGGAAACUGACGCUGAGGCGCGAAAGCGUGGGGAGCAAACAGGAUUAGAAACCCCCGUAGUCC